This 425-nucleotide ribosomal RNA is filed under the name uncultured bacterium. Its description in RNAcentral is "partial 16S ribosomal RNA". It matches the Rfam family "Bacterial small subunit ribosomal RNA", at positions 354 to 796 of the family's 1533-position model. The record is from RNAcentral.
GUGGGGAAUAUUGGACAAUGGGCGCAAGCCUGAUCCAGCCAUGCCGCGUGAGUGAUGAAGGCCUUAGGGUUGUAAAGCUCUUUCAGUAGGGAAGAUAAUGACGGUACCUACAGAAGAAGCCCCGGCUAACUUCGUGCCAGCAGCCGCGGUAAUACGAAGGGGGCUAGCGUUGUUCGGAUUUACUGGGCGUAAAGCGCACGUAGGCGGAUUGGUCAGUUAGAGGUGAAAUCCCGAAGCUCAACUUCGGAACUGCCUUUAAUACUGCCAGUCUCGAGUCCGGAAGAGGUGAGUGGAACUCCUAGUGUAGAGGUGGAAUUCGUAGAUAUUAGGAAGAACACCAGUGGCGAAGGCGGCUCACUGGUCCGGUACUGACGCUGAGGUGUGAAAGCGUGGGGAGCAAACAGGAUUAGAAACCCCGGUAGUCC